This 252-nucleotide ribosomal RNA is filed under the name uncultured bacterium. RNAcentral's name for it is "partial 16S ribosomal RNA". It matches the Rfam family "Bacterial small subunit ribosomal RNA", at positions 525 to 775 of the family's 1533-position model. The record is from RNAcentral.
ACGUAGGGGGCGAGCGUUGUCCGGAAUUACUGGGCGUAAAGGGAGCGUAGGCGGUCGAUUAAGUUAGAUGUGAAACCCCCGGGCUUAACUUGGGGACUGCAUCUAAUACUGGUUGACUUAGAGUACAGGAGAGGGAAGCGGAAUUCCUAGUGUAGCGGUGAAAUGCGUAGAUAUUAGGAGGAACACCAGUGGCGAAGGCGGCUUUCUGGACUGACACUGACGCUGAGGCUCGAAAGCGUGGGGAGCAAACAG